Molecule: long non-coding RNA, 786 nt
Filed under: Pogona vitticeps (central bearded dragon)
Lineage: Eukaryota; Metazoa; Chordata; Lepidosauria; Squamata; Agamidae
Description: lncRNA (ENSPVIG00000004605.1)
Source: RNAcentral
AUUAAAAGAAUUUGUGACAGAGAUCGCAGGACAGAGUGGGCAUGAUUCUACGCAAAAGCACAUAUGCUGUGGAUUCACAUCCCACUCCUUCACCCAUGCGGAAGACAGCUCCCAUCUAUCUACCUGUUUAAGCCGGCAUGAGGAAAAGCUGUCUACACAAAGAGUACAGUACUUCUAGUUGCUAAAUGAAUGGAGUGCAGGACAGCAGUUCUGCCCCAGCAAGCAGGGGAAGGCAAGUCAUGGUCCUCAUCAGGUUAACUCAGAUGAGCCAAAUAAAAAGAAUAAAGAAAAGAAUGUUCAGUCCUUUUUCUUAAGGAGAUGACUACCAUUGUACGUAAGCUCCCUGGACGCUCAACAUGUUCUUGCAGUCAAAGUUGCCAGGGAAGAAGGAUGAGUUCCUGGAGGACAAACAAUGGGGGAAGGGACAGAUUGCUGUCAAGAACUUUAGAAGGAGAAGCAGAUAAAAGGCAAGGUAUUUGUAUAGAGGCUGGCCACCUUUCAAGAGAUCCGAUGUGUGGUGUAAUGGAUGUGGCUGUCUGCGGAAGUAUUUAUCCUGUCACUCUCCAAUUUAUAUUCAACUUGCACAUUUGUAAAUAAACAGUUCUUGUUGUUCCUGCUGAUGUUGGUGUUAUACAGUAUCCUGUCAGGUUGGAUCCAACGUAUAGUUCUCCUAAUAGGGAUUUCAACACGAGAUAUUUAAGGAGUGGUUUUACCAUGUCCGCUCCCCCAGUCACUUUCCGAGGAUUGGAAUCCUGGUCUUCCGAGUCCUAGUCCAUCAUUCUGUAC